RNAcentral lists this long non-coding RNA (2728 nucleotides) under Homo sapiens (human). Its description in RNAcentral is "HSALNT0366887". Lineage: Eukaryota; Metazoa; Chordata; Mammalia; Primates; Hominidae. The record is from RNAcentral.
AGACGCCCGCUGGACGUCAACUCGGCCGGACGCGGGGCACGGGCGCUAACAGGCUCCUAGGAGCCUCCCCGGGCGCCCCCCGCCCAGGGCGCGCUCUGCUCACCUGCAGGUUUCGGCGGCUCCGCGGUGACUAACAACAGCGGCAGCAGCAGCAGCAGCAGCAGAAGCGGUGGCGGCUGUGGCAGCCCCGGGCGCCCGCCCGGACCGCCGCGGGUCAUCGCUCCACGGCCGCGACCUUCCUCUGCGGGAUCAGGCGGCCGCGGUGGCCCGCGGUGGCAGAAGUUGCAAGAGAGGCUCCUGGCCUACUCAGGGGCGCCGCCUCUCCGAGGUGGGGCGUCCUCAACUUUCCUCUUUCUUGAGCCCGGCCUGCUCCGGGCUCUGAGGGGCGAGGACGCUUCACGUGGUGGCCUGGGGCCCACCCCGCCUAGGAAAGGCGGAUCCUUUACGUCUGACCCUCUAGCAACCCCUGGGCCGGUCUGGGAAAGUUCCCCAGCUGCACUUCUGGGAAAUGCAGAGGCUGCCUGCCGCUUUCUUUCGCAGUUUUGCGGCCCAAGGCUUGGGCGAAUCAGUUCACAUCAACACCCCUACUAGCCUCUCCCUCCGGGGUCGACCAUUUAUCUCCAGCAGCGGACCAGGCGCCCGGGCCAGGGUGACAUGCGCGCCCUGCCUACACGCAGCUCGGAUCCUCUGCUGUUUCUGGAGAGGCCUCCACAGGUAGAAGCUCCCUGGAACAACUGCUGGAAUAAGGUUCCAGAGUGGAAGGUGGAAGCUCCCUCUUGGGAUAAAGGAUCCACAGUGGAAAAAAAAAAAGUUGCCCUCUGCUGGAAAACAGCAUCUUUGUCCUCUGAGAAAAACAGUCUCCCUUCUUACGGAGGCCAGUGGAUUCCAUCCUAGAGGCUGUGUUGACCGUAUCUCCAAAUAGACAAUAACGAGGCAUCUUGAUUCCCACAACUCCAGCAGCACAGGGACCUGAAAUGAAGGACAGAAAGCAGGAAGUGGAGGCAAUAGAAAUUGCAGAGUAGAGUGAAGACAGGUGGCAUUUCUGGGAUUGGUGCCAUGACAAUGGAAGACAGAAGACAAGACAAAGGCAUAACUUUCCGUAAGCAUUUCAUGGACCAGGCGAAUGCAGCUGGAUGGGGAAGCCUGUGGCACAAGGAGGUUCCAACAAGCAGAACAAAAGCCCAGGCUAGACUAUGCGCUGUGGCAUAUUAGGCCUUGGAUAUUCAGGAAGAUGGGGAAGAUUUGGAGGUAUGCUGACUGCAACAAAGGAGGUGGGCUCUCCCGGAAAGAAAACAACCAAUCAACCACAAAGAUUUCUAACACUCAUUUGGAGAACCUCCAGAGUAUCCGGAGAAACCUUUUUAAUUGGUGCAAUGACAAAACUUGGAACCUUUGAAAAACAUUCCUUUGGUGUGGCUUGGAUUCCUAGGUACACGACUGGAGUGGUUGUUCUUGACAUGCCCUGUAUAAAGUGCAUAGUAUUUUGGAGGCUGCAUAGAUGCAAUGACAAAAUUGGAUAUUCUGCCAUAUUUGCAAUUCAUUGUACUGCUUAUAUCUGAAAAGUCACAUGAGUUUGGUGAUAUGGUUUGGCUCCGUGUCCCCACCCAAAUCUCAUGCUGAAUUGUAAUCCCCAAUGUUAAGGGAGGGACCUGGUGGGAGGUGAUGGGAUCAUGGGUGCAGAUUUCCCCAUUGCUGUUCCUGUGUUAGUGAGUUCUCAUGAGAUCUAGUUGUUUGAACGUGUGUGGCACCUCCCCCUUUGCUCUCUCUCUCUCUUCCUGCCAUGCGAAGAAGGUGCUUGCUUCCCCUUCACUCUUCCACCAUGGUUGUACAUUUCCUGAGGCCUCCCCAGCCAUGCUUCUUGAACACCCUGUGGAACUGUGAGUUAUUUAAACCUCCUUUCCUCAUAAAUUACCUAGUCUCGGGUAGUUCUUUAUAAUAGGGUGAGAAUGGACUAUUACACUUGGAAAAUAGUGUGUUAUCCAGAGAGAGAAACUCAUGUUGUAAAUAAACGAAGGAAGGGCUGGGAGUUAACAUGAUGAGCUUUGAUAACAGGUUGUUGCUGACAUAGAUAAAAUUAGUAUACAGAGUAGAUCUCUUAGAAAGUCUUCCCAGAAGAAAAAACUUCUGGCCAGGCACAGUGGCUCACACCUGUAAUCCCAGCACUUUGGGAGGCCGAGGUGGGUGAAUCACCUGAGGUCAGGAGUUCGAGACCAGUCUGGCCAACAUGGUGAAACCCCCUCUCUACUAAAAAUGCAAAAAUUAGCUGGGUGUGGUGGCAGGCGCCUGUAAUCCCAGCUACUUGGGAGGCUGAGGCAGGAGAAUUGCUUGAACCCAGGAGGCAGAGGUUGCAGUGAGCUGAGCUCAUGUCGUUGCACUCCAGCCUGGGCAACAAGAGUGAAACUCCAUCUCAAAAAUAAAUAAAUUAAUUAAUUAAAUAAAAUAAAAAUAAAAAAGAAGAAACUUCUAUUUUAAUGUAUUUACCCCAAGGGGUACUAUUCAAAUAAAUGUCUAAGUGAUAUCUGGUUCCUACAUGCAAUCUUAAGUUUAUUUGCCCUUUGCUACACAUAUUUCUUUUUGAUUCUUCUAGUUAUUGCUCAUGCAUGUUUUAGUUUUAUCUUGCGCAUAAAAUUUUUACAUAAAUAACCAAAGUGAGUUGUGCUGAAGCCAUGGUGUAUUGUAGCUCUUCAAGAGACUUGUGUGAUAUAACCUUUGGAAAUCCAAUAAAAAC